AUUUUAUUCUGUAACCCAGGCUGGAGUGCAGUGGUGCAAUCACAGCUCACUGCAGCCUCCAGCUCCUGGGCUCAAGCGAUUCUCCAGCCUCAGCCUCCCAAGUAGCCGGGACUAGAGAUGCAUACCACCGCACCUGACUAAUUUUUGUAUUUUCAGUAGAGAUGGGGUUUCGCCAUGGUGUCCAGGCUGGUCUUGAACUGCUGAGCUCAGGCAAUCUGCCCACCUUGGCCUCCCAAAGUGCUGGGAUUACAGGCUUGAACCACCACGCCCAGCUGUCCUGUUUUUAACUUCAGAUACUUAGAUUUGAAUUUGAUUUAAUUGUUCCUAGUCCUUUGAAAGAACCCACCUUCUGUAAAUUACCAUCAUUGUGUAACAAGUCAGCCAAUAACAUCAUUACUCCUCUGCCAACACCUGACGUAUAGUAGGCACUUGAUGAACACUGAUUGAAAGAGAGAGAAGAUAUGAAUAGGUGACCAACUCCAAUAUCUCCAGAAAAUUCUGGAGUCUAAAUGACUUGUGCAAAGUAACCCAGUAAAACAAUCCUAGAGAAAAUAGGAGGAGAGAGCAGAGCAGCUGAAGUAACUGGAGCUACUUCACAGAGUUGUUACGAGGAUUGAAUAGUUAAUAUUUGCAAAGCAUUUGGAAUAAUGCCUGGCACUUUAUAUAGAUUCCAGGCAGGAGACAGUAACCACAGAGUAAUUUGCCGGGGAAGCUUUAUCAAUGUAUAUGGGGAAGAUAGAUCGACAGAAAUAACUAGUAACGGGAGAUUAGCUACUAAAGGGUAAGAACUCUGAAGACAACAGGAAUAGCUGAUACAGGGACUAGUCACUACUAGAGGUGGCCCUCAACUGUUCAGAAAUUUAUUAAAGGCCUGCU
Molecule: long non-coding RNA, 876 nt
Filed under: Homo sapiens (human)
Lineage: Eukaryota; Metazoa; Chordata; Mammalia; Primates; Hominidae
Description: HSALNT0045740
Source: RNAcentral